Molecule: long non-coding RNA, 556 nt
Organism: Centropristis striata (black sea bass)
Lineage: Eukaryota; Metazoa; Chordata; Actinopteri; Perciformes; Serranidae
Exons: 4
Source: RefSeq, a predicted model, not a curated record
UGUCCCAUCCGGUCCCAUCAGAGCUUUAAAACGCUGCUGUAGCUUUAAGAGACCUGUGCGUUAAAACCUGCAGAAGGAAACUGUCCAGAGGUGUCCACGACUGUUAGAUAUCUCAUCUUAAGACUUAUCUAAUCCAAAAUACCAUCUCUGAAAGUGUUCGUGUCGGGUAUCGUGCUAUUUAUGCGCUCAUUUAAAGGAAGUUAUGCCCUCCGCUGCGGUGCAGAGGACAGGACAGAGAUGCUGCACUGAAUCUGCUGCCAGCCUGCUGCACUCCGACUGAACCGUGAAAUGCAGCUUUUUGAGAGGACCGUUAACGGCGCGCAACGGACACAUUCAACCGUUUUCCGGGCGGAGUAUUCCUGCAGAAGAUAGUCCAAUGAAUGUGUGUGUGCUGGGACACAUAACAGCAACGAGAUGGCCCACUGUCCAGACCCGUGGUUGCCACGGGUGACAGUUCGGCAUGAGUACAUUGGCCCGAGGUCCUACCAGGUGCCUCCCCUCACAUCUGUUGAAGAUGUCAAACAAUUGCUCUACGAGGAGACAAACCUGCCUGUCA